This 497-nucleotide ribosomal RNA is filed under the name uncultured bacterium. Its description in RNAcentral is "partial 16S ribosomal RNA". It matches the Rfam family "Bacterial small subunit ribosomal RNA", at positions 28 to 507 of the family's 1533-position model. The record is from RNAcentral.
GAUGAACGCUGGCGGCGUGCCUAAUACAUGCAAGUCGAGCGAACAGAUGAGGAGCUUGCUCCUCUGACGUUAGCGGCGGACGGGUGAGUAACACGUGGAUAACCUACCUAUAAGACUGGGAUAACUUCGGGAAACCGGAGCUAAUACCGGAUAAUAUAUUGAACCGCAUGGUUCAAUAGUGAAAGACGGUUUUGCUGUCACUUAUAGAUGGAUCCGCGCCGCAUUAGCUAGUUGGUAAGGUAACGGCUUACCAAGGCAACGAAGCGUAGCCGACCUGAGAGGGUGAUCGGCCACACUGGAACUGAGACACGGUCCAGACUCCUACGGGAGGCAGCAGUAGGGAAUCUUCCGCAAUGGGCGAAAGCCUGACGGAGCAACGCCGCGUGAGUGAUGAAGGUCUUCGGAUCGUAAAACUCUGUUAUUAGGGAAGAACAAAUGUGUAAGUAACUAUGCACGUCUUGACGGUACCUAAUCAGAAAGCCACGGCUAACUACGUG